This 467-nucleotide ribosomal RNA is filed under the name Antiporus hollingsworthi. Its description in RNAcentral is "partial 16S ribosomal RNA". The stretch from base 344 to 467 matches the Rfam family "Bacterial large subunit ribosomal RNA", at positions 2473 to 2597 of the family's 2925-position model. Lineage: Eukaryota; Metazoa; Arthropoda; Insecta; Coleoptera; Dytiscidae. The record is from RNAcentral.
AUUAAUUUAAUGGCCSCAGUAAUUUGACUGUGCAAAGGUAGCAUAAUCAUUAGUUUUUUAAUUAAAAGCUUGAAUGAAUGGUUGGACGAAAUAAAUACUGUCUCUUUUUAACAAUUAGAAUUUAAUUUUUAAGUUAAAAAGCUUAAAUAAUAGUAAAAGACGAGAAGACCCCAUAGAUUUUUAUAAUUUUAUUUAUAUUUUUAAUUAGGAAUAUUUUAUUAUUUAUAAAUAAAAUUAUUUUAUUGGGGUAAUAAUAAGAUUUGUUAAAUUCUUUUUAAAAUAUUUCAAUAAUGAUUGAUUAUUUGAUCCUUUUUUAGAGAUUAUAAGAUUAAGUUACCUUGGGGAUAACAGCGUAAUUUUUUUAGAGAGUUCUUAUCGAUAAAAAAGUUUGCGACCUCGAUGUUGGAUUAAAAGUUAUUCUGGGUGUAGAAGUUCAGAGUUUUGGUCUGUUCGACCAUUAAAUUUUU